Molecule: ribosomal RNA, 391 nt
Filed under: uncultured Oscillatoria sp.
Lineage: Bacteria; Bacillati; Cyanobacteriota; Cyanophyceae; Oscillatoriales; Oscillatoriaceae
Description: bacterial SSU rRNA
Rfam family: Bacterial small subunit ribosomal RNA
Source: RNAcentral
CGAAAGCCUGACGGAGCAAGACCGCGUGGGGGAAGAAGGCUCUUGGGUUGUAAACCCCUUUUCUCUGGGAAGAAAGUUGUGAAAGCAACCUGACGGUACCAGAGGAAUCAGCAUCGGCUAACUCCGUGCCAGCAGCCGCGGUAAGACGGAGGAUGCAAGCGUUAUCCGGAAUGAUUGGGCGUAAAGCGUCCGCAGGUGGCAGUUCAAGUCUGCUGCCAAAGACCGGGGCUCAACCCUGGAAAGGCCGUGGAAACUGGUGAGCUAGAGUGCGGUAGGGGCAGAGGGAAUUCCUGGUGUAGCGGUGAAAUGCGUAGAUAUCAGGAAGAACACCGGUGGCGAAAGCGCUCUGCUGGGCCGUAACUGACACUCAUGGACGAAAGCUAGGGGAGCG